UCUGAGAAAACAUAUUUACCCUGCCCUCUG
Molecule: non-coding RNA, 30 nt
Filed under: Mus musculus (house mouse)
Lineage: Eukaryota; Metazoa; Chordata; Mammalia; Rodentia; Muridae
Source: RNAcentral